RNAcentral lists this long non-coding RNA (340 nucleotides) under Homo sapiens (human). RNAcentral's name for it is "non-protein coding lnc-TMEM215-2:1". The record is from RNAcentral. Lineage: Eukaryota; Metazoa; Chordata; Mammalia; Primates; Hominidae.
UUGCAAUAAAAACCCAGAAACCAUAAAAGAAAGGAAUGAUGAACUUGACUAAGAAAAAAGUCAGGGGGAGGAGCCAAGAUGGCCGAAUAGGAACAGCUCCGGUCUACAGCUCCCAGCGUGAGCGACGCAGAAGACGGGUGAUUUCUGCAUUUCCAUCUGAGGUACCAGGUUCAUCUUACUAGGGAGUGCCAGACAGUGGGCGCAGGUCAGUGGGUGUGCGCACCGUGCACGAGCCGAAGCAGGGUGAGGCAUUGCCUCAUUUGGUCUUCAAGGAGAACUACAAACCGCUGCUCCAGGAAAUAAAAGAGGAUACAAGCAAAUGGAAGAACGUUCCAUGCUC